RNAcentral lists this ribosomal RNA (400 nucleotides) under phytoplankton environmental sample. Its description in RNAcentral is "partial small subunit ribosomal RNA". It matches the Rfam family "Eukaryotic small subunit ribosomal RNA", at positions 587 to 988 of the family's 1831-position model. The record is from RNAcentral.
AGCUCCAAUAGCGUAUAUUAAAGUUGUUGCAGUUAAAAAGCUCGUAGUUGGAUUUCUGGUAGGAGUGACCGUGCCGGACUUGAUUGUCCGUGUAUUGUGUCGUCUCCAGCCAUCCUCGUGGAAAACUUUUCUAACAUUAACUUGUUGGGAUUGGGACCCGCGUCGUUUACUGUGAAAAAAUUAGAGUGUUUAAAGCAGGCAAUCGCUUGAAUACAUUAGCAUGGAAUAAUAAGAUAGGACUUUGGUACUAUUUUGUUGGUUUGCAUACCAAAUUAAUGAUCAACAGGAACAGUUUGAGGAUAUUCGUAUGAACAUGUCAGAGGUGAAAUUCUUGGAUUUUGAUCAGACGAACUACUGCGAAAGCAUUUAUCAAGGAUGUUUUCAUUAAUCAAGAACGAAA